Gossypium arboreum is the source of this 423-nucleotide long non-coding RNA. RefSeq lists it as uncharacterized. NCBI's taxonomy places the organism in Eukaryota, Viridiplantae, Streptophyta, Magnoliopsida, Malvales, Malvaceae. The transcript is spliced from 3 exons. The record is from RefSeq and is a predicted model, not a curated record.
CCUUCAUCUUUGCACCGAAACUAAAACAAAGAAAAAGAAAGAAAACAAAGUAGGGUUCGGCCUUGUUCAAGCUAGAUUAAGAUCAAGAACCAAAGAAAUCGGAUUUGGACUAGGAAAAAAUGAAAGUUGUCGACUAGCAGCUCCGUCCCGUUUUACGACGUCUGAGGUUUAUCCUUUAAUUCGAGUUGGAAGAGCCGGAGAUAUCAUCACACUAUCGAGUCAUUAUGUGAGUUGAGAAGAUUGUAUAUCAUCAUGGUUUAAGGCAUGUAUAGGAUAGACUAUAGGUAGAAUGAUAUUUCGACUUUGUAUAUAUUAUAGCCAUGCGAAGAUGGCUUGCUCAUUUUGUUUAGAGAAGCCUUAUAAUUGAACUAAUGUGUUGAAAUGUUUUAGUUAUAACUUGAUAGUAGUUAUUUUGUUAUUAAA